AAGCCGUCACAUGUUAAGUCUCCUGUCACCAGCAAACAUGUUCGUUUUUACUUUGCUGGCAAUGUUUUCUGUUGCAUGGACUUUUAAAACUUUUGACGUGGCAACAUUUAACGAAGAUAAAAUCACGGCUGUGGAGGACACCGUUCAUAGACUCGUGGCUAGGGUGAAGGCACUGGAGGCACUGGAGGCGUACAUCAAUAUAUCAGGUAAAGCAGAAGCCUCGAUGACCUCUCUGGCUGAACGGGUGAACGCACUGGAACUGGAAGUCCAAAAUAUGCGCAGCAUGGAAACUGUGCGGGGCAACAGGUCUUCUACAAAGGACACACUGGGAGCAGCUGUCACGAAACCACAUCCCGUCAAAUACGUUGGGUGUUACAGAGACUCCUGGGUUCGAGCAUUACAUUUCCUCUGUCCCACAACACACCUGACAACAGAGAAAUGCCGGAUGUGUUGUCUUGAUCAUAACUUUUCCUAUUUUGGAACUGAGAUUAGAGGGCAGAAGCCUCCUUUCACAUCUCACGUUACAUCAAGAUCAGUUGGUGGGUGAAGAUCAUUGUUUUCACACUGGAUGCCCAACCUAGUCCUAUUUUGGAAGCUUGACAGCUGUUGCUUGGUUGGACUACAAUGCUUUUGUGGUGAUGACAUCCACAGUGGAAACAAGAAAGUGGAUGACACAGAGUGCGCUUCUCCAUGUGCUGGCGACGUACAAGAUCGAUGUGGAGGAAACUGGGCAAUAUCCAUCUAUCAGAUGUAAACAUGCCUAAAACUGAUAUAUAAUCCAACUGAACAAAACGUCCACUCAUAGGGCUUUUCAUAUUCCUCUCACUAUCUUUAGAAUUAGAAGGAAUAACUUGACACUUUACUUAUACGUUUCUGAAAAUAUAUUGGUUCUUAUUUCAUGUAUCCCUCGUUUUGUGUUCCAUCACAGUUGAGCUUCCUUGGACAUUGCAUAUUUUUAUAUGAACGUAUGUCUCGCUUUGUUCAGUCAAAUGGAUGAUAAAUAAAAUUUAAUGAA
RNAcentral lists this unclassified non-coding RNA (1015 nucleotides) under Haliotis rufescens (red abalone). Its description in RNAcentral is "putative fungistatic metabolite, transcript variant X1". The record is from RNAcentral. Lineage: Eukaryota; Metazoa; Mollusca; Gastropoda; Lepetellida; Haliotidae.